Molecule: long non-coding RNA, 941 nt
Filed under: Ananas comosus (pineapple)
Lineage: Eukaryota; Viridiplantae; Streptophyta; Magnoliopsida; Poales; Bromeliaceae
Description: long non-coding RNA (ACOM_LNC040954)
Source: RNAcentral
ACUCUCCGCUCGCGGUGUGUUGCGCCCGUAAACGGCUCCGGCGGAUCUCACCUACCACCAGUCACGUGUCAACACAAACGAUAUUCACGAUGUAAAAUUUUCGGACCCACUUCUGGGCGCCCGGAACAUAGGAUCCUAAUUGGCUUCCAGUUCUGAUCAAAUCUGCACUCAACUUCUGGGCGACCCAAGACCUGUUCUGGGCGCCCGAAUCUGUCAAAACUCCAGUUUUGUUUAUUUGAGUGCGCCGAGUUCAUUUCUGUAUCCAUUUCGCGCAGAAACGACUCCGACUCAGUCUGACACUCUCUAGACGUGUCGACCAGUCACUAACACUGAAACUAAUCUUAUCCAAAGUUCAGAAACACUACAAUAUAAGUUUAUUUUUUAUUUUUUAAUUUUAGAUUUGAUUUGGACUUAAGUUAAAAUUUAAAUUCAAUCAAAAUUUUCAAUUUAGUUUAUGAAAUUAAAUUUAAAUUCAAAUUUUUAUUUUAUUUUUAAUUUGUAAAUUUUAUUUAGAUUUUAAAUUAAAUACAUGGAUUCGAAUUGAAAUUCAAAUUAUAAAUUUUUAUUUUGAAUUUGAAUCAAAUCGUAAAUUAGGUUUAUGUUGUAAAAUCGUCAACUCAGUUUAAAUUAUAAAUUGUUUAAAAAAAUUAUAUUUAAAAUGUUGUUGGCUUAUCACUUCUAAAUUUUGAUGUAAAUUCUUAAUAUAUGAGUUUUAGUUUGAAUUUAGGUUAUAAAUUUAGUUAUAUAUUUUUAUAUUGCAAACUUAAUUUUAAAUUUAAGUUUAUACUUUAAUAUUUUAUUUAAAUUUUUCUUACUUGUUCUUUUAUAAUCAUUUUUUUUUCCACUAUUCCAAUUCUAUAUAAUUAUUAUUCUAAACCAAACAUAUAUAUUGAGAUAUUUUUACCAUUCUAUUUUCGAUUUCCAUUUCGACUCCAAUUUUU